RNAcentral lists this ribosomal RNA (484 nucleotides) under uncultured bacterium. Its description in RNAcentral is "partial 16S ribosomal RNA". It matches the Rfam family "Bacterial small subunit ribosomal RNA", at positions 30 to 507 of the family's 1533-position model. The record is from RNAcentral.
AUUGAACGCUGGCGGCAGGCCUAACACAUGCAAGUCGAGCGGAUGAAGGGAGCUUGCUCCUGGAUUCAGCGGCGGACGGGUGAGUAAUGCCUAGGAAUCUGCCUGGUAGUGGGGGAUAACGUCCGGAAACGGGCGCUAAUACCGCAUACGUCCUGAGGGAGAAAGUGGGGGAUCUUCGGACCUCACGCUAUCAGAUGAGCCUAGGUCGGAUUAGCUAGUUGGUGGGGUAAAGGCCUACCAAGGCGACGAUCCCUAACUGGUCUGAGAGGAUGAUCAGUCACACUGGAACUGAGACACGGUCCAGACUCCUACGGGAGGCAGCAGUGGGGAAUAUUGGACAAUGGGCGAAAGCCUGAUCCAGCCAUGCCGCGUGUGUGAAGAAGGUCUUCGGAUUGUAAAGCACUUUAAGUUGGGAGGAAGGGCAGUAAGUUAAUACCUUGCUGUUUUGACGUUACCAACAGAAUAAGCACCGGCUAACUUCGUG